Molecule: small RNA, 528 nt
Filed under: Pongo abelii (Sumatran orangutan)
Lineage: Eukaryota; Metazoa; Chordata; Mammalia; Primates; Hominidae
Description: retained intron
Source: RNAcentral
CUGGCCUGGUUCUCUGGGAGGCAGAGGUCCCUGAUAACCCUGGAGCUGACUCUGUGUCCAGAGCACUGAAUGCCAGGGCCAGAGAAUCCUGCAUGACAGUGACCCAAGCAUGUUUCCUCGAACCCUCCCUUUCAUCUAUUCCAUUCUCAACCCCCUGGUCGCUAGGCAGUGGCCCUAGCAACGGGCCUAGUGGAGUGCUAAAGCCUGGGGGCCACCGUUCCACCGCGGGAGACCUGUAGUUACCUGUCCUCUGAUAACAGACCCCACAUCAGCCCAAAAUUUCUUCACCAGGGACCUUACGCACCCUGUCCUCGGUCCCCUGAGAUACCUUGCUAUCCCCUUCCCUUCAGAUAUCAACAGUGACGGUGUCCUGGAUGAGCAGGAGCUGGAGGCCCUCUUCACCAAGGAGCUGGAGAAAGUGUACGACCCAAAGAAUGAGGAGGACGACAUGCGGGAGAUGGAGGAGGAGCGACUGCGCAUGCGGGAGCAUGUGAUGAAGAAUGUGAGGUGGGGGCCAGGCGGGGGAGA